This 201-nucleotide unclassified non-coding RNA is filed under the name plant metagenome. RNAcentral describes it as "partial contains small subunit ribosomal RNA, internal transcribed spacer 1, and 5.8S ribosomal RNA". The record is from RNAcentral.
UCUCCGUUGGUGAACCAGCGGAGGGAUCAUUAUCGAGUUUAUAACUCCCAAACCCUAUGAGAACUUACCACUUGUUGCUUCGGCGCGCGCUUCGGCGCCGCCGAGGACACUUAAACUCUUUGUUUUUAUAAGCAUUUCUGAGUGGCCGAAAGGCAAAAUACAAAUGAAUCAAAACUUUCAACAACGGAUCUCUUGGUUCUG